Molecule: long non-coding RNA, 3642 nt
Organism: Coffea arabica (coffee)
Lineage: Eukaryota; Viridiplantae; Streptophyta; Magnoliopsida; Gentianales; Rubiaceae
Source: RefSeq, a predicted model, not a curated record
UUCCAUAUUACUGUAAGCCUAACAUGGUAUUUUUUGACCUUUAUGCAUCUAUUGCCUUUUUUCUUCAUUUUUGAUUUUCUUCCACUUGUUUCCCAUUAUAUCCUGUUUCAAGAACUUCCUUAGCUGUUCAGUUGGAGUCAGGUUCAAGAACUUCCUUAGUUGUUCAGUAGGAGUCAGCAAUCAUUUCACUCCUGGUCCUUGACUUGAGCUUUCCUUGGCCAAACAAUCCACGCUCAUGUUCCCUUCUCUCCAGGUAUGAGUAAACUUCUAUUUUUCUAGAGGGAAUGCAAUAUAUAAGUCUUUGGGCUUGAGUGGGUGCAAACUAUUAUAAUAUUGCUAACAAUAUUUUAAAAGGCAUUCGCGGGGCGAGUCCUCGGCAUGGCGUUCCAAUACUGCCCUUGGGUGAUCGUAUAAGGCGAAAUUGUGUGGCUGUACGUUUGGGCACGCCUCUAAAGUGAGGCAUUAAAAGCGUACACCCCACAAAUUGUUUUAAAAAAAGAAAAAACAGAUUUAACUUUAUCAAUUAAAUUUUUAACUUUUUAAUAUUUAGUUUUAUUACUAAUUUACUAUCUUUAUAUUGAGACAUUGAGUGAAUUUGAUAUUAAUUUAUUUGAAAUAUAAUAUAUGGUUAGGCAAGCAAGGAAAAGGAAAAGAGAUUGUUACCUAUAGAUUGGAUCCGGUGAUGGGAUGGAAAUUCCAGAAUUACCAUCAACUAUUGGAAGAAAAUUACCUAGUAUAUAUACACUAUAUGAAGAUGAUGACAUGAAUGAUAUUGACUUUGAUGAAUAGUAUCAUUUUAUUUGUCAAUUUAUUUCUAAUUAUUGGUGCUAUUCCUUGUUAUGUAUUAUAAGCAAUAUGGUUGCUAAUUUCGGUACUUUUGAUACUAGUUAAGUGUGUUUAUUGAAACAAUUAACCUUUGAAAUUUGUGUCUACUUCAAUUUAUGUGUUUGUAAUUUAAGUGCUUGAUAAUGUGGUGACUUUUGAAUUUUGACUAGUUCAUUUCUAAAAUUGAACUUUUUGUAAUUUUAAUUAUUCUGCUUAUAUGUUUGUAAUUUAAGUGCUUGAAUAUUAACUUUGAUGAUUAUGUAGUUAAUUAUUCUGUUUAUUUAUAUCUUCAAAUGACUUUUUUUGUAAUACAUAUCAUAUUUUUAUAUAUUUUAAAAAAAUUCGCGGAAAAAAAUUCGCGGGGCUUAUGCCUCACACCUCGGGGCUUUCGCCCCGUUGGGCAGAUACUAAAUGAUCCCCUCAACACCUUCACCUUUUAAAACAUUGAGUACUAAAUUAGGACACCACAAUAUUUUUAUAGCGUAAAAAAGAGGUUUUUAAAAAUUUGAGGGGAAGGAAUUGCCCAACCUCAUGAGUAUGCGGCUCUACCCCUGAUCAAAAUUAAUCAGUUAAUACUCGAAAGUAGGCAGAGAUGGAGAGGUAGUAGUAAGUAGGUAUUCCUUUAAGAGGUAAAAUUUGGAAUACAUACGGAAAAAAAAAAGAAGAUAUUUGAUCAUUAGGGUAUUCCAUUUGAUAAGGACCUGGUAGAUAUAAGAGAAGAAAGAACACGAUGGAUUCCAAUUGUGGAGCUGAAAUUGUUAACAUUGCAGUUUAUUAAAAUUGAAGAGGGAAAAACUGGAAGGAUCCAAUGUGAGACAAGCUAAUGGCCUGUUGGGUAAUCGGAAUUUUGUGGAUAAGCCUUGUUUUAGGUGGAGAAAAAAUGGCAGCACCAAUAUUUACUUGUUCAGCAAGAAGUUGAACGUAAAGGCUGUGAAGGUUGUAAAACAGUCGAGGAUUAAUUGUGUAAAGGAUGAAAAGUUACCCAUAGUAAUUAUGAGGUACCUUCUUUGAGACUGGUUUAUGUAAUACUUAUACAUAUCAAGGCAGUUCUCCAAAUGCCUUCUUGCAGUUCCCUUAUGUAAUAAUUUGCACAAAAACGCCCCAUACAAAAUAAAAAAGUGUGUAACAAGGAGAUAUUUUUGUUCAUUCCUAAGUCAAGUUGGAAGCUUGCUUCCAAAUUUGACGAAUGGCCUUGAAGACAGUCAAAUUUGUUUCCGAAAAAGAUUCCAAUAUAAAUGGGGACAACUGACAAGAAGCUCCAAAAUUUGGGCUGGGGUGUAGAAUUUCUGAAUGUGAGGUGGGUAUUUUCUUGUUAUUCAGAUCCAGCAUCCAGCUGUACCAGGUUUGUUGGAUCAUUUGAGGUGGGCAUGGCUUAUUGAAAAUGGAAAUGGUGGCCAUGUAAUGAUUUAUGAGGACAGAUUAACAGAGCUACAAUCUCCUAGACCUGAUUGACGGAACAUGAUGACUGAUGAGAAACAGCCUCCUUGGAAGUGAUUUGCAUCGAAAUAUAUCUCUGGGUCCAUGAGAGUUAUCCACAAAAAGAUUGUAGUAGCUUAUGUUCACUUUGCUAUGUGCGAACCUCGCUUCCACAUACUGUACUACUGCUGACAUUUGAAGUAGAGGUUCCUAUCCAGCAUGAUUAGCCAUCUCGGCUGAGUUCGAUAUGAUUCGACCAAGUCAUAACUGGAACAGAGGCGAGCGAUACGAUACCGAUUCCUGAAUUAUGAAUAUUUUUAUAUUUACAGCGACUCGCUCUGACUCGACCAAUAUUGGCCGAUUUGAAUUGUGAUACAUGAAAUCAGCCAAAAUAUUCGAGUUAACUCGGAGUCGACUCAGAUAUUUGUUCAGAUGAUGUAUUUUAUGUUAUUUUCUAUUUUUAGUAAUUUUUUCAGAAUUUUAAAAAUUUGUAUGUGCUAUAAUUUGUGUAUCGUCCGAUAUUUAAUCGAUAUGCGAUGAUGGAUAUCGAACAACUGUGACCGCGACCUGCAACGGCCAAGCAUGCUAUCCAAGCUGCUGAGCGCUUGAGGGACUAUACUUCUCUUUGAAAACAAUGAACCAACAGAACCACAGGAACCGCUCACAGAAGACAUUCGAUUGGAGAAGGCAUCCUUGCCGGAUACAAAAAAAAGUUCAGUCCUCAAGUUCGAUGAGGAGGAUGAUGGAGCCAAAGUACCCUUGAAGAUCCAACUCGGAAAGGAGCAAGGCAUAGCAGCAAGUGAAGAAGCAGAUCGACUGUCGAGGCAGACCCUUGAGGCUAAGGACAAGAUUUGCCUUCUGUGCACUACAUUCAGGUUGGCCAGGUCUCUGGGGAAAUGCAUGUUCCUUCUGGUUGCUUCCUGAAGGACCAGCAGCUGGAGCUGAGGGAGACAUUUGAGUUAUUCCAUAAACAGGACCAGCUUCCACAGCAGGUUGGGUACUUGCACUGGAACAGGAACCAUAUAUACCUGGGGGAAGCAGCACGGGACCAUGCAUUUACCUGUGCAAAACUCAAGGUUUGAAGUAAUUUUCAUGAAACUCCUGUCCAAUUUACUUGCAUUGUGAAGUACACUUUGGAUUCGAUAUUCACUUGAAUUUUGUCAUUGUCAGUAGCUCAAUACCGUAGAAGUCACAGAUGAGAUUCAUAAAAAAUGUACAAAAUCUGGUGAACCAAGUUUUAAACAACUAAUGCCAUGUUUGCGCUGGUUUGACUUGGGAAAAUUAUUAGGUGUUUAAAUAGUUUCUUAUUUAAAAUAAUGUUCUUUAUGGUACAGAAUUUAGUGAACAUUUCUACGUCAUGCAACAAACCUACUUUUAUCCAAAAAAAGAAAGGAAAAAAAA